AUGUGGGUGACAGUGGCGAAAGGGUUAGUAAUGCAUAGAUAACCAACCUUCGAGCCUGGGAUAACUGGUGGAAACGCCAGCUAAUACCGGAUAGGCUCGCGGGGGCUUAUGCCUCAGCGAGUAAAGAUGGCCUCUUGGCAAUGCUGUCACUUGAAGACGGGUCUAUGUCCUAUCAGCUAGAUGGUGAGGUAACGGCUCACCAUGGCGAUAACGGGUAGCCGGCCUGAGAGGGCGACCGGCAACACUGGGACUGAGACACUGCCCAGACUCCUACGGGAGGCUGCAGUCGAGAAUCUUCCGCAAUGGGCGAAAGCCUGACGGAGCGACGCCGCGUGCGGGAUGAAGGCCUUCGGGUUGUAAACCGCUGUCACAGGUUAUGAAAGGGCCCGCCGUUAAUAGCGGCAGGUCUUGACAAAGGCCUGAGAGGAAGCCACGGCUAACUUCGUGCCAGCAGCCGCGGUAAGACGAAGGUGGCGACCGUUGUUCGGAAUCACUGGGCAUAAAGCGCACGUAGGCGGGAGAGUAAGUCGGGUGUGAAAUCCCUCGGCCUAACCGAGGAACUGCGCCCGAAACUGCUUUUCUUGAGGAUAGGAGGGGGAGCGUGGAAUUCCUGGUGGAGC
This 620-nucleotide ribosomal RNA is filed under the name uncultured bacterium. Its description in RNAcentral is "bacterial SSU rRNA". It matches the Rfam family "Bacterial small subunit ribosomal RNA", at positions 83 to 679 of the family's 1533-position model. The record is from RNAcentral.